GUGAAAGCCUGGGAUGCUGAAGUCACCUAAUUUCCUGCAGAACAGGUACAGCAUGACCAGAGGCACAACACAUGCCUCCCCAGAAACGCCCUGUCGCGCUUUAAAUCAAGAGGUACCUCAGCAGGGACUGAAGGGUAGUUCAGACUUCAUGGUCCAUUCUGAACCAAUUGGCCAAU
RNAcentral lists this small RNA (176 nucleotides) under Nothoprocta perdicaria. Its description in RNAcentral is "TUC338 (ENSNPEG00000009103.1)". The record is from RNAcentral. Lineage: Eukaryota; Metazoa; Chordata; Aves; Tinamiformes; Tinamidae.